UUACAUUCACAGGUACCCAGGGUUAGGGCUUCCACAUCUUUUUGAGGGAGACGAUUGAACCCAUAACAUCAUGUUUAUUUUAGGAAGCCAGGAAAAAGAGGGCUCAUGUUCCUUUGCCUUGUGACAAAGCAUAAAUGUGGAGUAGCCUGGAGGUGUAGUGGUUGAGGCAAGGAGGAAGACACUGGGUGGUGUUAGGGGAAACUUGGGAAAGAAGCUUCUGGGUUUUGCCUGUGUUCCCUGGCUUGAGUCUGCAUCACUAGGACUCUGACUCUCUAGCCUCCCUCCUUUGUCAUUGGACCCUUGUCAUUGCAUUGGGCCCAUCUGCAUAAUCCAGGAGAGUCUUUCCAUCUCAACACUCAACUUAAUCACGUCUACAAAAUCCUGCUUUCCGUGUAAGAAAUGAAAAACUUGAGACUAAGACGCCAACGACUUUUCGAAGCUUCCACAGCCACCUGUGUCAGAAUGGAGCUGAAUUCAACAUCUUCUGAUGAACCCAACUGCAUCACUCACAGUCAGUGUGAGCUUGGCACAUUUGUGCAGCCGUACGUGGAGGUCACCAUUAUAACAGCUCAUCCGCAGAGAGAGGUGACUUCAAGUGUAUUGGGCAGUCCUGUCAUGACUAUAAGGAGCUUCACCUGCGUGGAAGGGCAUGAGGCUCUGGACAACCCCUAACCACCAAUCCUCUCUCCUUCCUGAUGAAUCUGGACGCUUUGAUGGGUCCUGCUGAUGCAUCCAGAUGUAAACCAUCAUUAUAUGGAUCCCAUGUAUGAAGUAGGACCGAACAUUAAUCAAUCAUUAGGCAUCUGUGAUUUCAGCACUUCCCCCUUUGAAGUCUCUAAUAAACGUCCGCAUUUAA
Molecule: long non-coding RNA, 856 nt
Organism: Panthera uncia (snow leopard)
Lineage: Eukaryota; Metazoa; Chordata; Mammalia; Carnivora; Felidae
Exons: 5
Source: RefSeq, a predicted model, not a curated record